CGAACCUGGCCUGCACAGCAGGGUUUGCAGGCUCCGAAUGGACUCAGAGCAGCACAGCGGGGACACUGCUCAGCUGCAGGCCUGGCCCGGCCCCUGCGCUGACCCUGGCUCAAGAACCCUUGCCCUUGCUUCCCCUGGUGGCCUCUGGAGUCCUGCUCUUCUCUCCUCUGAAGACACGGGACAGACUGGAAGGAGGCCCACCCGGACAACCCCUUGUAAAUGCAACGACCUCGCCGAUGGCCCCAUCUCCAGCUUUUGGAAGAACUGCAACUCAGCUACGAGUUCCGCUUGGCUACUUAAGACAACAGCUAAAGGGCGAUUUGUCUCUCACCAUCCUCGCUUGCUGCAGCUCCUCAGGGAGUUCUGAAGACUCGCGACCUCAGCUACCCCCCUGUUCUGCUGUCCUUGACUUACACCCUUUGAUCUCGUGGUCACAAAUGGCUGCAACACUUCCAGGCAGGCAUCACAUCCGAGUUCCAGACUGGAAGAAGGAGGUAGAGAAAGGUUGUGCCCAGUGCAUCUAUCUUUUUAUCACGAGGACACUUCCUUUCUAGAAGCUCCGCCAUAAAAUUCCUUAUCUACCCCAUUUGCCGGAAACAGGUGCCAGGGAGCUUGUUAGCUGAGCGUAUGGAAGGUGACUGUGCUUGCCAGGCAGUUUUGCUGCCACAAACAGAUUCAGGAUCUUGUUAGCGGAGAGAGAAGGGGAAUUGGAUGUUGGGAGGCUACCCGAGGUCUCCCA
Molecule: long non-coding RNA, 739 nt
Organism: Lepus europaeus (European hare)
Lineage: Eukaryota; Metazoa; Chordata; Mammalia; Lagomorpha; Leporidae
Exons: 3
Source: RefSeq, a predicted model, not a curated record